RNAcentral lists this long non-coding RNA (212 nucleotides) under Manihot esculenta (cassava). RNAcentral's name for it is "long non-coding RNA (MESC_LNC010396)". The record is from RNAcentral. Lineage: Eukaryota; Viridiplantae; Streptophyta; Magnoliopsida; Malpighiales; Euphorbiaceae.
CUGAAUGAUCCGGAAUGGACCAAUCUUCUUGGCGUCAAGCUUUUUCUGUCCUCCAGCACGCUCCUUGCGUAAAUACACCAUAACUUGAUCACCGACAUUGAAGGACUUGAAACGCCUAUAUUUAUCAGCUGUAGCUUUAUAUUUGUCAUCGGCUUCUGUAAGGUAUUGUUGUACCUGUUUGAAAACAUCCACGUGCUGCUUUGCCAAGUUGC